ACUCCUACGGGAGGCAGCAGUGGGGAAUAUUGCACAAUGGGCGCAAGCCUGAUGCAGCCAUGCCGCGUGUGUGAAGAAGGCCUUCGGGUUGUAAAGCACUUUCAGUUGUGAGGAAGGUGGUGUCGUUAAUAGCGGCAUCAUUUGACGUUAGCAACAGAAGAAGCACCGGCUAACUCCGUGCCAGCAGCCGCGGUAAUACGGAGGGUGCGAGCGUUAAUCGGAAUUACUGGGCGUAAAGCGCAUGCAGGUGGUUUGUUAAGUCAGAUGUGAAAGCCCGGGGCUCAACCUCGGAACUGCAUUUGAAACUGGCAGACUAGAGUACUGUAGAGGGGGGUAGAAUUUCAGGUGUAGCGGUGAAAUGCGUAGAGAUCUGAAGGAAUACCGGUGGCGAAGGCGGCCCCCUGGACAGAUACUGACACUCAGAUGCGAAAGCGUGGGGAGCAAACAGGAUUAGAUA
This 457-nucleotide ribosomal RNA is filed under the name uncultured bacterium. Its description in RNAcentral is "bacterial SSU rRNA". It matches the Rfam family "Bacterial small subunit ribosomal RNA", at positions 335 to 784 of the family's 1533-position model. The record is from RNAcentral.